UCCCCCCAAAUCCAUUAUCCCCAAAUUAAACUGCUUAACCUAUUUCCCUCCUCCCCCUCAUUCAUCAAAAUCGUUUUCUCUCCCGCAGGCCGUAAUCGAUUGCAUUGAUAACACUGAAUCGAUCUCAACGAAAGGCUUCUCCCUUUUGCACGUAGUUCCAGAUGAAGAUGUGAUACAGGCACCACCAGACAACCAUGCGGACGCUCCACCCUGGACCACCACCGAUACUGCUUGUUGAUGAGACGUAGGUUCAAAGAUGCCUGCCAAUUGUUCGAUGAAAGGCUUCAAAGAGCUUUAGUGCUAUAGUUACUUUAACAUUUAAAACAAAGCUUUGUGUUAAAGUGGAUCACGCAAGGAUUUCAAAUGGAUUUAACUGAGGAAACAAUUGUAAUACAACUUCAGCUUUUGUCUUAGAAAUGAAGCCAGUCCAUCAGGUGUUCUACUCAUUGUUUUUGAUCCUCGACCUGAUGCAUUAGAUCAGGUUGAAGUUGAGAAAAACUAGUUGCUGGAAAUGCGCAAAAGGAUUGAAGAUGAUCAUUAAAGAAAAAAACACCGAGCUUGAAACUAUGCGAAAAGAGUUUGCUAGCUAGCGACACAACUUGGAAGCUAUGAUGCGGAAGGCUAUGAAACAAGUAGUUGGAGAUCGAGAUGAGUAGAAUGUUUUCACUUUUUUUAUUAUUGUAAUUGACUAUAAAGUUUUAAGUUUCGACAAACAUGUUGAAGUACACACUUUGAUUAUCAGUGAUAUCUUUGUUAUUAUUGUUUUCGUGUAA
This is a long non-coding RNA of Helianthus annuus (common sunflower), 773 nucleotides long. RefSeq lists it as uncharacterized. NCBI's taxonomy places the organism in Eukaryota, Viridiplantae, Streptophyta, Magnoliopsida, Asterales, Asteraceae. The record is from RefSeq and is a predicted model, not a curated record. The transcript is spliced from 5 exons.